CAAAAACAUGUCCUCGAGGUCUGGCCUGCGGCCGCGGCCGUGCAAAGGUAGCAUAAUCAUUAGUCUUUUAAAAGAGGGCUGGAAUGAAAGGUUUGACGAGGUACUAACUGUCUCAUUUUAUUUGAGAAUUUAACUUUUUAGUCAAAAGGCUAAAAUUUAGUUGGAAGACGAGAAGACCCUAUAGAGCUUUAUAUAUAUUUUGUUGGGGUGACAAAAAUAUUUUUUAUUUAUUUAACAUUGAUUUAUGAAUAUUAGAUCCACUAUUAGUGAUUAUUAGAUUAAGUUACCUUAGGGAUAACAGCGUAAUCCCCCCCCCAAAAAAAUAAUUAUUUUGCACCGCCAUGU
RNAcentral lists this ribosomal RNA (345 nucleotides) under Syncordulia venator. RNAcentral's name for it is "partial 16S ribosomal RNA". It matches the Rfam family "Archaeal large subunit ribosomal RNA", at positions 1977 to 2601 of the family's 2987-position model. The record is from RNAcentral. Lineage: Eukaryota; Metazoa; Arthropoda; Insecta; Odonata; Corduliidae.